GUGGGGAAUAUUGGACAAUGGGCGAAAGCCUGAUCCAGCCAUGCCGCGUGUGUGAAGAAGGUCUUCGGAUUGUAAAGCACUUUAAGUUGGGAGGAAGGGUAGUAACCUAAUACGUUGCUACUUUGACGUUACCGACAGAAUAAGCACCGGCUAACUUCGUGCCAGCAGCCGCGGUAAUACGAAGGGUGCAAGCGUUAAUCGGAAUUACUGGGCGUAAAGCGCGCGUAGGUGGUUCAGUAAGUUGGAAGUGAAAUCCCCGGGCUCAACCUGGGAACUGCUUUCAAAACUGCUGAGCUAGAGUACGGUAGAGGGUGGUGGAAUUUCCUGUGUAGCGGUGAAAUGCGUAGAUAUAGGAAGGAACACCAGUGGCGAAGGCGACCACCUGGACUGAUACUGACACUGAGGUGCGAAAGCGUGGGGAGCAAACAGGAUUAGAUACCCCGGUAGUCC
This 450-nucleotide ribosomal RNA is filed under the name uncultured bacterium. RNAcentral describes it as "bacterial SSU rRNA". It matches the Rfam family "Bacterial small subunit ribosomal RNA", at positions 354 to 796 of the family's 1533-position model. The record is from RNAcentral.